UUGCUGUGGUUAACGGGGUAGUUGUUGGGGGAUCCAUGGUCGUUGUCUGUAUGGUUGUUGUAGGUGGCGUACUGAUGGUUGUUGUGGUUAAUGGGGUAGUUGUUGUAACGGUUGUUGUGGUUAUUGAAGUAGUUGUUUGGGGACCUGUGGUUGUUGUUUGUGUAGUUGUUGUAGGUGGCGUACUGAUAGUUGUUGUGGUCAAUGGGGUAGUUGUUGUAACGGUUGUUGUGGUUAUUGAAGAAGUUGUUAGGGGACCUGUGGUUGUUGUUUGUGUGGUUGUUGUAGGUGACGUAAUGAUGGUUGCUGUGGUUAAUGGGGUAGUUGUUGGGGGAUCCAUGGUCGUUGUCUGUAUGGUUGUUGUAGGUGGUGUAGUGAUGGUUGUUGUGGUCAAUGGGGUAGUUACUGUUGUGAUCAUUGUUGUGGUUAAUGGGGUAGUUGUUGGGGGAUUCGUGGUCGUUGUCUGUAUGGUUGCUGUAGGUGGCGUACUGAUGGUUGUUGUGGUUAAUGGGGUAGUUGUAAUGGUUGUUGUGGUUAUUGAAGUAGUUGUUAGGGGACCUGUGGUUGUUGUUUGUGUAGUUGUUGUAGGUGGCGUAGUGAUGGUUGUUGUGGUCAGUGGGGUAGUUAUUGUUGCGAUCGU
Molecule: long non-coding RNA, 637 nt
Organism: Sander lucioperca (pikeperch)
Lineage: Eukaryota; Metazoa; Chordata; Actinopteri; Perciformes; Percidae
Exons: 3
Source: RefSeq, a predicted model, not a curated record